This 71-nucleotide transfer RNA is filed under the name Ornithorhynchus anatinus (platypus). It matches the Rfam family "tRNA". From Rfam's summary of the family: Transfer RNA (tRNA) molecules are approximately 80 nucleotides in length. Their secondary structure includes four short double-helical elements and three loops (D, anti-codon, and T loops). The record is from Rfam by way of RNAcentral. Lineage: Eukaryota; Metazoa; Chordata; Mammalia; Monotremata; Ornithorhynchidae.
AGCAGAGAGGUCUAGUGGAUAGAUACUGGCCUGGGAGUCAGGAGACCUGGGUUCUAAUCCUUGCUUUACUA